RNAcentral lists this ribosomal RNA (450 nucleotides) under uncultured bacterium. RNAcentral's name for it is "bacterial SSU rRNA". It matches the Rfam family "Bacterial small subunit ribosomal RNA", at positions 354 to 796 of the family's 1533-position model. The record is from RNAcentral.
GUGGGGAAUAUUGGACAAUGGGCGAAAGCCUGAUCCAGCCAUGCCGCGUGUGUGAAGAAGGUCUUCGGAUUGUAAAGCACUUUAAGUUGGGAGGAAGGGCAGUAAGUUAAUACCUUGCUGUUUUGACGUUACCGACAGAAUAAGCACCGGCUAACUUCGUGCCAGCAGCCGCGGUAAUACGAAGGGUGCAAGCGUUAAUCGGAAUUACUGGGCGUAAAGCGCGCGUAGGUGGUUUUGUAAGUUGGAGGUGAAAUCCCCGGGCUCAACCUGGGAACUGCCUCCAAAACUGCAUGACUAGAGGACGGUAGAGGGUAGUGGAAUUUCCUGUGUAGCGGUGAAAUGCGUAGAUAUAGGAAGGAACACCAGUGGCGAAGGCGACUACCUGGACUGAUACUGACACUGCGGUGCGAAAGCGUGGGGAGCAAACAGGAUUAGAAACCCCAGUAGUCC